GAUUAAUGAGAGGCUGGACAUGACCCAGCAAUGUGCACUGCCAGCCCAGAGGACAGUUGUCUCGUGGGCUGCACCAAAAGCAGCAUGGGCAGCAGGGCCAGGGAGGGGGAUUCUGCCCCUCUGCUCUGCUCUGGUGAGAGCCCACCUGCAGGGCUGCAUCAGCUCUGGGGCCCUCCAUAUGAAAGGAAUGUGGGCCAUAGGAGUGAGUCCAGAGGAGUCACAAAGGUGAUGCAAGGCCUGCAGCACCUCUACUGUGGAGACAGGCUGAGAGAGCUGGGGAAAGAGAGGGUUCCACCUUACAGCCCCUUCCAGUACCUGAACAGGGCCUGAAGAAACCUGUCAGGGACUCUAUAAAAGAGUCUGUAGUAAUUGAACAAGGGGGAGUGGCCUUAAAUUGAAAGAGAAUAGGUUUAGAAUAGACAGACAGAGAGGUGGUGAGGAACUGGAACAGGUUGCCCAAGGAAAUUGUGGAUGCCCCAUUGCUGGAAGUGUUCCAGGCCAGGUUGGAUGGGGCUUUGAGCAACCCAGUCUAGAGGAAGGUGUCCCUGCUCAUGGCAUGGGGGUUGGAAGUAGAAGAUCUUUAAAAUCCCUUUAAAUGCACAACGUUCUAUGGUUCCAUGAUUCUAUGAUUCUAUGAAUCUAUGAUUUCAUGAUUCUGUGUUAUGUCAGGGAUGAGUGGGUCCUCUUUUACUGGAUUCAGGGCUUAUCCCAGGGAAGGAAAGUGUAUCCCUUUUGGCACAGAAAAUUAUGACUCCUUCUUGGACUUGUUCUGUUUAACAGAUUUGGCCAAAACUUUAGUAAGGACUGAGAUUUCUAUGAUGAUUUUCUUAUUAGCCCUCAACCAAGUUUCAGAAACAAGUUUUGUCUGUAUCAUCUGUUAGUCUCAAUUCAGAAACUGACAAUGUGACAUGAGGUGCUCACAUUAUAGUUGCAUCAAUAAUGCUACAGACAGCUUAAACAAGAAAAUAGGUACUUAACACUGGUUACUUGGUAAUCCUUUAAUUCACAAUGGUGUGCAUAAUGUAACUGUCAAUCCUCUAAAGUAUUAUGGAAUUGUAAACUACAUGAAACUUUGGACUAUAUAAAACACACUGUAAUAAAGGCUUGAAAAAUGCUAAGAAAAAGGCAUGUUCCCUUUGGCAAAUGUCAUCAUGUCUGCAAAGAGCAUAAGAAAAGCUCAGAGAAGACUGUUGGUGCAAAGCCCUUCCAGGGGCCUUGUUUGCUUUAUUGCAAAAAUUUCUGCUUCCAAAUGACCCUUCUUUGAGAUAAAUAACAAAGAAAACAGUUUCCACCAUUUAGAACUACAUAUCAACCAUAAAAGAAGGAACAAAUGUAAUCUGGAAAACAUAAAUUCCUUGUUUGAUGUCCUGUCAUUUUAUUGAAGACAAUGACAGCACCUAGCAAGGAAAAAAUCCAGUACAGAGCCUGUUUUCAAUGCAGAGAUGGAAACUGAAUUUUGCUGCAAAGCUGACUGAGAAGCUCUGUAGACAGCUUCAGAAAUUAGCUACUGUGUUGGCAAGGUCAGUGGUUAGUGCUGAUGCUGGUCAAUGGCCUUCAAAGUUCCUAAUUCCUAGGUGAUUGAAAUGUUAACUAGCUCUUGUCAAAAGUGAAAGGAAAAAAACGGCCUGGAACAUGAUCUACUGCAUCUGUCAACCUAACGUCUUGGUCACUUUGAGUUUGGCACCUACAUGAAAGUGUUUGUUGUUUAAUCAAAGAUUUCAUCAAUCAUUUUAAUGGGGGCUUUCAAACAGAAAUUAAGUUUUUGAGAUGCCUGCUUAAAUGUUCUCUUAGUUGCUAAUGUUGACAUGGAUGUUCCUAUAUUAAGUAUUGGUCUUGGUCAUAAAAGUGAAAUAGGUAUGUAGUGGGAUAUUUUCCUGUAUGGUGAAAGAAGUGAUUGAUUCCAUUAAUGAAUAUAAUACAAGAGAAUUAUUUUUGUAAAAUGUUCAUUAAUAAUGACUGAAAAAUGAAUGAUAAUCAAGCAUCAAGAGGGGUUUUUCGGGAUACAACCUUUUUUGUAGUUGGAAUGAAUAUAAUUAAAUAUGAAGCUGGGAGGCACAUAUGUCCUAUGCAAUCCUAAGUUCCCUCUGCUGAAAGAAAAGAAACAGUUUUAGCAUUACAUUAAUUUCAUAAUAAAAAUAUUUUUUACUGUGCUAUUUUACAGGACAAAAAUAUUUGAACAUUAUUUGAUAAUUAGGAGGAAUUUUAUUAAUUUAUUUGGAUUAUUUAUCUCUAGAUAAUUGUCUUUUUAUUUUGAAUGCAACAGAUGCAAUUAGACUGCAAAUAUGUCUCCUG
Long non-coding RNA from Passer domesticus (house sparrow), 2292 nucleotides. RefSeq lists it as uncharacterized. The transcript has 4 exons. NCBI's taxonomy places the organism in Eukaryota, Metazoa, Chordata, Aves, Passeriformes, Passeridae. The record is from RefSeq and is a predicted model, not a curated record.